This 23-nucleotide microRNA is filed under the name Schistosoma mansoni. RNAcentral describes it as "Sma-Mir-219_5p (mature (guide))". RNAcentral also lists the same sequence under 3 other names. Lineage: Eukaryota; Metazoa; Platyhelminthes; Trematoda; Strigeidida; Schistosomatidae. The record is from RNAcentral.
UGAUUGUCCAUUCGCAUUUCUUG